This 442-nucleotide ribosomal RNA is filed under the name uncultured Levilinea sp. Its description in RNAcentral is "bacterial SSU rRNA". It matches the Rfam family "Bacterial small subunit ribosomal RNA", at positions 927 to 1382 of the family's 1533-position model. Lineage: Bacteria; Bacillati; Chloroflexota; Anaerolineae; Anaerolineales; Anaerolineaceae. The record is from RNAcentral.
AAGCAGCGGAGCGUGUGGUUUAAUUUCGAUGAUACACGAAGAACCUUACCAGGGUUUGACAUGCUGGUAGUAGGGAUCCGAAAGGUGACCGACCCUCGGGGAGCCAGCACAGGUGCUGCAUGGCUGUCGUCAGCUCGUGUCGUGAGAUGUUCGGUUAAGUCCGCUAACGAGCGCAACCCUUGCUGUGUGUUACAUGUGUCACACGGGACUGCCGGUUUUAAACCGGAGGAAGGUGGGGAUGAUGUCAAGUCAGCAUGGCCUUUAUAUCCUGGGCUACACACACGCUACAAUGGCCGGUACAAUAGGUUGCGAAGCCGCGAGGCGGAGCCAAUCCUCAAAGCCGGCCUCAGUUCAGAUUGCAGGCUGCAACCCGCCUGCAUGAAGAUGGAGUUGCUAGUAACCGCAGGUCAGCAAUACUGCGGUGAAUACGUUCCCGGGGCUU